UACAGGGGGUGCAAGCGUUGCUCGGAAUCAUUGGGCGUAAAGCGCACGUAGGCGGUCUGUUAUGUCGGAUGUGAAAGUCCGGGGCUCAACUCCGGAUCUGCGGUGGGUACGGGCAGACUAGAGUGAUGUAGGGGAGACUGGAAUUCCUGGUGUAGCGGUGAAAUGCGCAGAUAUCAGGAGGAACACCGAUGGCGAAGGCAGGUCUCUGGGCAUUAACUGACGCUGAGGAGCGAAAGCAUGGGGAGCGAACAGG
Molecule: ribosomal RNA, 253 nt
Filed under: uncultured bacterium
Lineage: Bacteria
Description: partial 16S ribosomal RNA
Rfam family: Bacterial small subunit ribosomal RNA
Source: RNAcentral